CCGUUGGUCAAAAGGAUGAAAAUCCUUUGACCAAUAACUUAAGGACCUAAGGGUGUUCUAUUAUAAAAAGAGAGGACACCCCUUUAUCCAUUGGAUAAAAGGGGUGCUCAAUUUUUUGUAUAAAUAGGUGGUGGGAGGACACAUUUGGAACACACAUUUUUAUUUAUUUUUUCCUCUCUUUCAAAAUACACAUAUUUAUUUUUUAUCAACCACGCACAUAUUCAUAAAUAUACAAGCAUAUUUUAUUUAUUCCAUUUUUCUCUUCAAAUCACACACAAAAAUAUAUAUAAAAACACACAAACACACGCAUACAUAGAAAACAACCUCCAUUUUUGUUUCAUUUUUUACCAUCAACAACAAUGACACACAUAUAAAUAUAUUUAUAGACGCCUACUACAUAGUUUUCAUUUUUAAGCUUUCGUCUUCUCCGUAGAUACCAACAGUUCAUCCGUUCUCAUGCGUCACCUCCACACGGUUUUCUUCCCCGAAACAGCCGCCCAACAAUACCACCCCCACGCUACAAGCUUUCCCUUUACGUCUCGCCGUAAGCUCGCCGGAGGUGAUGACCAGUGAGCAUCGAAUUUCUUCCCAGAUCUGCCGCCAUCAACCACUACAACAGCCGCCAUCAACACCGAGAAACAUCCACGAGCCGCCUCUUUUCUCUAAUAUUUUUCUUUUACUACACAGAUCUGGUCAAAGCCGUUUGGAUGGAUAUUGGAAUUAAUUAGAUAAUAUGUUUGUCUCUGUUUGCUUUGCUAUUUUAUUAUCACUGUUAUUGAUCAUUUUUUUUUUUGCCUUGAGUUUGCUGUUGUUGGAGUGAUUUUUUGGAUGAUUUUUGUUCUUCUCAUUUAUUUACACUGAUAGUGAAUGGAUACUGCACACUUGGCCAAUGAAAAAAGUAUUAUUGAUUUUGAGGCCUUCAUAAAUAAAAGACGGAUUUUACGUAUACAAAUACGUAAUAAAAAAUAUUUUAUGGGUGAUGAUAAAACUUUAUAACAAUACAAGAUUUUACAAUUCAGAUUUUGACAAGACGAUUUAGGACGGCCAAUUAAUUGAGCAACCANNNNN
RNAcentral lists this long non-coding RNA (1068 nucleotides) under Capsicum annuum. RNAcentral describes it as "long non-coding RNA (CANN_LNC004097)". Lineage: Eukaryota; Viridiplantae; Streptophyta; Magnoliopsida; Solanales; Solanaceae. The record is from RNAcentral.